This 384-nucleotide ribosomal RNA is filed under the name uncultured prokaryote. Its description in RNAcentral is "bacterial SSU rRNA". It matches the Rfam family "Archaeal small subunit ribosomal RNA", at positions 341 to 725 of the family's 1478-position model. The record is from RNAcentral.
GCGAAAACUUUACAAUGCUGGCAACAGCGAUAAGGGGACCUCGAGUGCCAGGUUACAAAUCUGGCUGUCGUAAUGCCUAAAAAGCAUUGCAUAGCAAGGGCCGGGCAAGACCGGUGCCAGCCGCCGCGGUAACACCGGCGGCUCGAGUGGUAACCGUUAUUAUUGGGUCUAAAGGGUCUGUAGCCGGCCGGAUAAGUCUCUUGGGAAAUCUGGCAGCUUAACUGUCGGGCUUUCAGGAGAUACUGUCUGGCUCGAGGCCGGGAGAGGUGAGAGGUACUUCAGGGGUAGGGGUGAAAUCUUGUAAUCCUUGAAGGACCACCAGUGGCGAAGGCGUCUCACCAGAACGGACCUGACGGCAAGGGACGAAAGCUAGGGGCACGAACC